RNAcentral lists this ribosomal RNA (383 nucleotides) under uncultured eukaryote. RNAcentral's name for it is "partial 18S ribosomal RNA". It matches the Rfam family "Eukaryotic small subunit ribosomal RNA", at positions 592 to 976 of the family's 1831-position model. The record is from RNAcentral.
CAAUAGCGUAUAUUAAAGUUGUUGCAGUUAAAAAGCUCGUAGUUGGAUUUCUGGUGGGAGCGAUCGGUCUGGCGCUUAGCGCGAGUACUUGCAUCGUCUCCGGCCAUCCUUGGGGAGAGUCUGUCUGGCAUUAGGUUGUCGGGCAGAGGAUCCUCAUCGUUUACUGUGAAAAAAUUAGAGUGUUAAAAGCAGGCUUAUGCCGUUGAAUAUAUUAGCAUGGAAUAAUAAGAUAGGACUUUGGUACUAUUUUGUUGGUUUGCGCACCAAAGUAAUGAUUAAUAGGGACAGUUGGGGGUAUUCGUAUUCCGUUGUCAGAGGUGAAAUUCUUGGAUUUACGGAAGACGAACUACUGCGAAAGCAUUUACCAAGGAUGUUUUCAUUAA